This 513-nucleotide small RNA is filed under the name Pongo abelii (Sumatran orangutan). Its description in RNAcentral is "retained intron". Lineage: Eukaryota; Metazoa; Chordata; Mammalia; Primates; Hominidae. The record is from RNAcentral.
AUAUAAAAGACCAUUUAAUGAAGCUUUUGAAGAAACACCAAUGCUGGUUGCUGUGCUCACGUAUGUGGGGUAUGGCGUACUCACCCUCUUUGGAUAUCUUCGAGAUUUCUUGAGGUAUUGGAGAAUUGAAAAGUGUCACCAUGCAACAGAAAGAGAAGAACAAAAGGACUUUGUGUCAUUGUAUCAAGAUUUUGAAAACUUUUAUACAAGGAACCUGUACAUGAGGAUAAGAGACAACUGGAAUCGGCCAAUCUGUAGUGUGCCUGGAGCCAGGGUGGACAUCAUGGAGAGACAGUCUCAUGAUUAUAACUGGUCCUUCAAGUGAGUCUUGGUUGGGAAAUUAUUUAUUGACAACAAUUACAAAAGGGUUUCUUCAUUUGAGAAAAUAUGUUAUUAUAAAUUGAGUAUUCUCUCAAAAUAGGAGUAGCAGCUGAGGAUACAAUAUGAUUGAUUUCCUUACAUAUUCUUCACUGUUGAGCUUUUUAAGAUAUAUCUUUCUAUUACAUUUGAUAC